RNAcentral lists this small RNA (28 nucleotides) under Bombyx mori (domestic silkworm). Its description in RNAcentral is "ovarian small RNA-34033". The record is from RNAcentral. Lineage: Eukaryota; Metazoa; Arthropoda; Insecta; Lepidoptera; Bombycidae.
UGCGUUUCAGUUUGAAGGCUAGGGCAGC